GCGGGGGUUGCCGAGCCAGGUUAAAGGCGGCGGACUCAAGAUCCGCUGGCGUAGGCCUUCGUGGGUUCAAAUCCCACCCCCCGCA
RNAcentral lists this transfer RNA (85 nucleotides) under Candidatus Bathyarchaeota archaeon. RNAcentral's name for it is "tRNA-Leu". It matches the Rfam family "tRNA". From Rfam's summary of the family: Transfer RNA (tRNA) molecules are approximately 80 nucleotides in length. Their secondary structure includes four short double-helical elements and three loops (D, anti-codon, and T loops). Further hydrogen bonds mediate the characteristic L-shaped molecular structure. tRNAs have two regions of fundamental functional importance: the anti-codon, which is responsible for specific mRNA codon recognition, and the 3' end, to which the tRNAs corresponding amino acid is attached (by aminoacyl-tRNA synthetases). tRNAs cope with the degeneracy of the genetic code in two manners: having more than one tRNA (with a specific anti-codon) for a particular amino acid; and 'wobble' base-pairing, i.e. permitting non-standard base-pairing at the 3rd anti-codon position. Lineage: Archaea; Thermoproteati; Candidatus Bathyarchaeota. The record is from RNAcentral. RNAcentral also lists the same sequence under 3 other names.